UUCUUCGGAGAGUUUGAUCCUGGCUCAGGAUGAACGCUGGCGGCGUGCCUAAUACAUGCAAGUCGAGCGAACUGAUUAUAAGAUUUAUUCUAUGACGUUAGCGGCGGACGGGUGAGUAACACGUGGGCAACCUGCCUGUAAGACUGGGAUAACUUCGGGAAACCGAAGCUAAUACCGGAUAGGAUCUUCUCCUUCAUGGGAGAUGAUUGAAAGAUGGUUUCGGCUAUCGCUUACAGAUGGGCCCGCGGUGCAUUAGCUAGUUGGUGAGGUAACGGCUCACCAAG
This 284-nucleotide ribosomal RNA is filed under the name Priestia aryabhattai. RNAcentral's name for it is "Bacillus aryabhattai partial 16S ribosomal RNA". It matches the Rfam family "Bacterial small subunit ribosomal RNA", at positions 1 to 272 of the family's 1533-position model. The record is from RNAcentral. Lineage: Bacteria; Bacillati; Bacillota; Bacilli; Caryophanales; Bacillaceae.